Long non-coding RNA from Anolis carolinensis (green anole), 11181 nucleotides. RefSeq lists it as uncharacterized. NCBI's taxonomy places the organism in Eukaryota, Metazoa, Chordata, Lepidosauria, Squamata, Anolidae. The transcript is spliced from 2 exons. The record is from RefSeq and is a predicted model, not a curated record.
CAUCACAUUCAUGUUUUAUAUGAAGGCUAUCCAUUAUUUAUAUUUUCUAUUUCUUGCGUUUUAGCCACACAGCAACAUUGUAAAUAGAAGUUACAACAGCAAAUUGAAAGAAGCCAAUGGUUUUGCAAUAAAAGAGAUUAUUAUUAUUAUUAUUAUUAUUAUUAUUAUUAUUAUUAUUAUUAUUAUUUAUACCCCGCUUUAUCUCUCCUGCAGGAGACUCAAAGCAGCUUAACACAAAAGACAGUUAAAUUAUUGCUUUGAUAUUUGGGUUAGUUUCAUAGCCAGUUUGUAUGUUUGCAAACUUUUUUGUGCUGGUUAGAAGGCAAGAACAAAGGUGAGAGCAAAACCAAUUGUUUUAAUAGUACAGCCAAGGAAUAAUGUCAGAUUUUCUCAACAAAUUUUGUUAUUCUGAAACAUAAAGAAAAAAACACACCAACAUGAUGAAAAACAUUUCACUUCAUAGACCCAAUAUGUAGGAAAGUUCUGCAUUUCCAUCUCAAGUCUAUUGCCAUCGUAAUGUACAAACACACGAAUAAUGUUAACAAAGAGGAACAUUUUGACUUCAACAGAGUAAAAUAUAGGAGAGAUAGGGAGAUAGGGCGGAAUAUAAAUAAAGCUUUAUUAUUAUUAUUUUUAAGUUAUAAAUUAAACUUAAAUAAUUCUCUUUGAAGAGCAGAGAUUGGUGGGAAGCCAACAAGUACAUUGCAGUGGUCCAAUGGGUUAAACCCUUGUGCUGACUGGACUGCUGACCUGAGGGUUGGGUUGCUGGCCUGAAGGUUGCCGGUUUGAAACCUUGAGACUGGGUGAGCUCCCAUCUGUCAGCUCUAGCUUGCAGGGACAUGAGAGAAGCCUCCUAGCAAGAUGGUAACACAUCUGGGCAUCCCCUGGGCAACAUCUUUGUAGACAGCCAAUUCUCUCACACCAGAAGCGACUUGCAGUAUGUUCUCAAAUUGCUUCUGACACAAUUUUUUUUAAAAAGUACAAAGAACAAACAAUAUUUUAAGAGUGUCUUAAUACCUUUAAUCAUUUGUGGUUGCCAAGAAAUAAAUUUAUUACAGAAUGCAAAAUGUUAUCCCAUAAUUCACAAUUAUUAUUAUUAUUAUUAUUAUUAUUAUUAUUAUUUUAUUAUGACACAGCAAACAAGAUAGAUAUGCUGGAUUUCGUAUCACAAGUCGAACACUUCCCAGGUGUCUAGGACUGUGUGAUAUAUUAUUAUUAUUAUUAUUAUUAUUAUUAUUAUUAUUAUUAUUAUUAUUAUUAUAUUUCUUACCUGCCUCUCCUCGUGGCUCAAGGCAGGUUACAACAUAGCUAAACACACAUAACCAUUAUAUAAAAUACACAUAUUAAAAUGUAUUUCUACAAAAUACAGAUAUUAAAAUACACAGAACAAUAAUUAAAAUAUAGUGAACACAAGAUGUGAGUUUCAAAUUUAAGAUUAAUAUGCAAAAUGGAACUAAUGUUUAUGGAUACAUCACUACCUAAUGCUUAAUUGAUCCAUAGUUGAGUAUAUUAAGAUAAUCUGGUAAAAAGACAAACAAACAAACAAACAAAUAUUGUUACAGAACUGGCACAUUUAGUUCUGUAAAAAUAUUUAAAAUGUUAAGCAAUCUCAUUUUAAACCACGCAGCACACACUGUUUAUCCAUGUUACCACACAGAACAAAUAAUACCGGAAGUAGGGAGUUUCUUAGCCAUUUUUUCUUUGGAGGGAAAAAAAUAAACAAUUUUCUUAAUAAGAAAAGGAAAGGGAAUUCAGUUAACCAUAUAAUGAUCUUAUGUAACUAUCCAUAAUCAGCUAGCCCAACACCUAGUGUACAGAUUUACUUGAUCUGUUUCAGUUUUCUUUGACUCCUGCACUGCAGUAAUUGUUGACUGUUGAGAAUUUUUCUCCCUAAAGACAAGAAAGAAAUAGGAAAAAGAAAGAAGAGUUAGCUAAAUCGGGUUUAUAAAUGGGAACAGUGUCAACAUUUCCCAUUCUCUAUCUAAACUUUUUCCAUAUUUCACAUUGUAUGAGACUUCACAAGUUAGUCGUUGCAAAUGUUGAGCUUGCAAAACAAAUUCAAAAACUCGACAGAAAGGGCCUGAUAAGGAAUGGUUUCUACAGAGAACGAGAGAAAUAUCUCUCUACCUAAUAUAAGUUAAGAAAUAAAACUUCAAAAUGACUUUGAGUUGUCUAUAUAGCAAUAUUUUUCUUUAUUAUGACUGAAAUUAUAUUGGAUAGUAUCAACUGGAGUAAACCCACUAAGGGCCCAUCUACACUGCCAUAGAAUGCAGUUUCAGACUGUAUUAUAUGGAUAGUGUAUUUAUUUACUUUUUAUUUACUUAGUUUUAUAUCCCACCAUCUCUCUCCCUUGUCGAGGGACUUGGAGAGGCUAACAUACAGCAAUAUACAGCAGCAAUUCGAUGUCAUUUCACAUAAAUCACAUAACCGCAUCAAAUUCAAAAUACAUAUACAGUAGAGUCUCACUUAUCCAAGCAAAUGGGCUGGCAGAACCUUGGAUAAGCGAAUAUCUUAGAUAAUAAGGAGGGAUUAAGGAAAAGCAUAUUAAACAUCAAAUUAGGUUAUGAUUUAAAAAAUUAAGCACCAAAACAUCAUGUUAUACAACAAAUUUGACAGAAAAAGUAGUUCAAUACGCAGUAAUGUUAUGUUGUAAUUACUGUAUUUACGAACUUAGCACCAAAAUAGCACGAUAUAUUGAAAACAUUUUCUACAAAAAUGCAUUGGAUAAUCCAGAAGCUUGGAUAAGUGAGACUCUACUGUAAAUGAAAACUCAUAUACCGCAGUAGCUGCAAUGAACAUCAUUAUAUAAGUCUACACUCAUCAUAUAAUGAGACCCCAUCUACACUGCCAUGUAAUGUAGUUUCAUUAGGCAGUUUUAACUGCAUUGAAUUACACUAUAUGGUAGUGUAGACUCAUAUAAUGUAAUUCACAACAGUUAAACUGAAAUACGAAACUGCAUUGUAUGGCAGUGUAGAUGGGGCCUGAGAUUCAACCUCCAUUGUAUGGCAGUAUAAUGUAGUUUAACUGCAUUGAAUUAGGAGCCCCCAGUGGUGCAGUGGGUUAAACCCUUGUGCUGGCAGGACUGAAAACUUGAAGGUUGGGUUGUUGACCUGAAGGUUGCCGGUUCGAAUCCAACCUGGGGAGAGCGUGGAUGAGCUCCCUCUAUCAGCUCCAGCUCCAUGCAGAGACAUGAAAGAAGCCUGCCACAAGGAUGGUAAAACAUCAAACAUCCGGGUAUGCCCUGGGCAACGUCCUUGCAGACAACCAAUUCACUCACACCAGACGUGACUUGCAGUUUCUCAAGUUGCUCCUGACGUGAAAAAAACUGCAUUGAACUGCAUUAUAUGCAUAAUAUUGCAAUGUAGAUGGAGCCAGAAGUAAACCCAACUGACUCAGGACCUCAUCAUAUUGAGGUCAACAUUGCGGGCGAUAGCGGUGGGAUUCACCAUGCAUUGUGACGAAUCCAGCGGGCAGUGUGGGGAACUUGUCGUCCCAUAACCCUCAUAGCCCCUUACCUAUCCCACGGGGAGAAGCAUCAACUCACAGCUUCUCCCUGUUCUUCUCAAUGAGAACACGAGACAUCUCCCAUGUUCUCCUUGUUCCCUUUUACGACACUUUCACCUCAGUUCAGGGACAGCGCCACAUUGGAAGUAAAUCUAUGUCAUCUGAUAGGAUCUGGUGGGCUCUGUCCCUGGACUGUGGGGAAAGUGUAAUAUUGCCAAUUUUGACCGUGUGAUGAAGUCGUCAGUGGGCCCAUGUAGUUGGAAGUAACAACAAGAUUUAGAACUGCAUCAACACUCUUUCUACGGUUUCGCCACCAUCACUAGCAUGGUUGGUGGGAUGCAAAAGAGUGGCUCAUUUGGUGGCUUCCCUAAACUUUAGAAUUCCUUUCACAAAGAUGCCAGAAUGCUCCUUGUUUUACGUCCGGUGACAUGAUUAAACCAUUCUAUGUGUUUUAAACAUUUACUUCAAGAAUGGGCAAGGUUUUUUUUUUUCGUGUCAGGAGCAACCAGAGUUGCUUCUGGAGUGAGAGAACUGGCCGUCUGCAAGGACAUUGCCCAGGAGAUGCCCGGAUGUUUUGAUGUUUACCAUCCUUGUGGGAGGCUUCUCUCAUGUCCCCACAUGGAGCUGGAGCUGAUAGAGGGAGCUCAUCCGCGCUCUCCCCGGGUAGGAUUCGAACCUAGCAGCCUUCAGGUCAGCAACCCAACCUUCAAGUCACAAGGCUUUUAUCCCCUAGGCCACCGGAGGCUCCAAUGGGCAAGGUGGUGCUGUGUUGUUGUGUUAGCUAACUGCUUAUAAGACCUUUUACCUUAUUGCUUUUCAUCCUUUUAUUCUAAGCAGAAUUGCUUUAGUAUUGUAACCAGCUCAGUCAGGCCCGUAGCCAGGAUUUUGAUUCGGGCAGGGCUGGGAUUUUGAUUCAGGGGAGGGAGCUGAGUCUGAGUGGGAGAGGAUCUACCCUAGCAAACCUUUUGUAUCAUCAUCCCAAUACCCCCAUGCAUAUAGGAUAUAUUGAGCAUGGUGAUCAGAUCAUGAUAUGAAUAAACAUAACAGUUUAAAUAAUAAAUGUAAGGCCUUCUCACAGACACCCCCCCCCCCCCCGGCUACAUACCUGAGCUCAAUCCUAUUUUAGUGUUUAUUUUUGUUUAUUUUUAAUUGUAUUGUUUGUGCAUUGCUUUGGGUACCAGUCUUUAAAAAAAGUGAAAUAAUAAUAAUACAGAAGAGUCUCACUUAUCCAACAUAAACGGGCCGGCAGAAUGUUGGAUAAGCGAAUAUGUUGGAUAAUAAGGAGGCCUUAAUGAAAACCCUAUUAAACAUCAAAUUAGGUUAUGAUUUUACAAAUUAAGCACCAAAACAUGUUAUACAACAAAUUUGACAGAAAAAGUAGUUCAAUACUAUGUAGUAUUGUACCAAUACUAUGCUAUGUAGUAAUUACUGUAUUUACGAAUUUAGCACCAAAAUAUCAUGAUGUAUUGAAAACAUUGACUACAAAAAUGUAUUGGAUAAUCCAGAACGUUGGAUAAGCGAAUGUUGGAUAAGUGAGACUCUACUGUACCACAAUAUUUUUUUCAGCGUCCUUUUGGCUUUUGUAAUAUCUUUCUCAACAUCCCCACCGCUGUGAUUGUGAAAUUGUAAUAGUGUGCCAAAUUCAGUCAACAGUUUUAAUAGUAUUUAUUACAUCAGCUAUGACAUAUUAUCACUUCACUCAAUCAUAGUGAGGGGUAAUUUAAUACACAUGCACAUUCCCUAGAUGAAAAUUUAGAAAACAAUUAAAUGGUAAUAAGCAAGCACCCCAAAGCAUUGUUCCAAACCAGCCUGAAGGCCUUCAAGUUUUCAGUUUAACUUGUUUUUCCUUACCAGUACUCCAUUCUCCUCAUGACACCCUUUUGAUCCUUUAAAUAUUUUCCUCAAAAUAUUACAAUUUUUUAAAUAGCAGAUUGGAACAGCAACUUUUUGUCAUGGAAAAAAAGCAUUAAUAUAAUAAAAUAAUGACAGAAUCAUGCAUGACCAUUAUGUACUACGUAGUACUUGAACUAUGAUGUUACGUAGUGGAUUCUGGUGUGAUCCCUCUAACCUUUCUUACUGUUAUGUACCAUCGUUGAAUAGCUCCACACGGUCAGGAAGUUCUUCCUAAUGUACAGGUGGAAUCUCCUUUUCUGUAAUUUGAAGCCAUUGCUCCAAGUCCUAGUUUCCAGGGUUGCAGAAAACAAGCUUGCUCCCUCUUCCUUAUGACAUCAUUUCACAGGAUGAUAAUGUCUCCUCUCAACCUUCUCUUCUGCAGGCUAAACACACCCAGCUCUCUAAGCUGAUCCUCAUAGGGACUCAUGGUUUCCAGACCUUUGAUCAUUUUAGUUGCCUUCCUCUUGACACGUUCUGACUUGUCAAUAUCUCUCUUGAAUUGUGUUGCCCGAAAUUAGACAUUGUCUAAUAUGAUUCAGCCCAUUUUUAAAAUAAGAAGUGUAGCCCAGUCUCUCCCAUCCACCUCCCCAGCUCCAAAUCACAUACAAUUUUUUUAGUAGUGAAUUUUCAUUCAAUAUUAAUAAUGUUGAGAAAUGAGAGAGACAGAUCUGGAAAUUUCAAUAACUGCAAUCAUAUUGGUAGAGUCGAACAACAACCUGUCACUCAGAGAGUCCUUCAUAUACAAGGUGUAGCAGAGAAAGGGGGAAAAAGUUCAGUAUUUACACUUACCCCCCCCCCCCCCCAAAAAACACCUUGUCAUAACAAGAUAUGCGGCCUACGGAUGGAAGAGAAAGUUAGAGUGAUAUAGGAAAUGCCUCCAAAACAUGAAGUCACCAUAAUUACAUAUUGUGCCUAAACUCUUACUGAUACAUCAAUAUAAGCAUACAAAGGUUCUUAAGUCUUUCUCAAUUACGUAUGUGCUCCUGAAAUCCCAUUUUGACUCUUAGGAUUACAUCCCACCCUUGGUUUGGUUUCUGUUCAUCUUAUCUGCUGUUGUUCAUUGAUAUGAAACCACACUCUCAUAGUAACAGUAGAAGUCUUUCAGUUUAAGUUCAUUAUUUAAGUUCAUUAUUAUCUUUUACCACCAGGAUCCUUGCCAGUUUGAAUAGUCUGUGCUGUUCUGGCAUUUAGGUUAUGUCUCUUUGCUCUCGGUAUUACAGUAGAGUCUCACUUAUCCAAGACUCGCUUAUCCAAGGUUCUGGAUUAUCCAAUGCAUUUUUGUAGUCAAUGUUUUCAAUAUAUCGUGAUAUUUUGGUGCUAAAUUCAUAAAUACAGUAAUUACAACGUAACAUUACUGUGUAUUGAACUACUUUUUCUGUCAAAUUUGUUGUAUAACAUGAUGUUUUGGUGCUUAAUUUGUAAAAUCAUAACCUAAUUUGAUGUUUAAUUGGCUUUUCCUUAAUCCCUCCUUAUUAUCCAAGAUAUUCGCUUAUCCAAGGUUCUGCCGGUCUGUUUAGCUUGGAUAAGUGAGACUCUUUUGUAUAUUCAUGCAUGCACAAUGCUUUGAAAGGUUCUAAUACGUUUCAUGCCAGCCACUCUGCCAUGCUGCAACUAAAAUUGUAUUUGUUUGAUGGAUUUUGGUUGCCAAGCUGCCCUGGACAUAUGUCAUGAGAACAUGACCCAAGAAUCCUCAACUCCAAAAAAACCACCACUACCACCAAAACAGUUUCUUUUAAGAAAUUCCAUUAUACUCAGAAGUGACAAUUCUUCUGUGCAAAAUGUGAUCUUCCAAAUGGCUUGCAUGUGAAAUUAGAUAUACUUACUACCAUCGUCACUUGUAUGGAUUGCUUUUUGAUUGCUCUCUAACUUAGGGCAGUUCUACACUGAUCCACCUAAAUGGAUUUGAGAAUUUAGUGUUUUCACAAUUUUCUCCUUUGUAUGCAGUGCAAUGUGUGCACAUAUGAAUUAAGAAGUGUCAGUUGAAAUGGCAGCUUUUAUACCCAGGGCAUUAUUUUCUUUUCAUUCUUAAGCAAGUCUAUUUUUGAAAUUUAUUUUAUCUAUUAUGUGAACAUAUUAUAUAAUUUAUAUUUCUCUCUUUGCAAGAGUAGCAUCGUUCAGUCAUAGAACUGGAUUCGAAAUUGUCCUUUGGAUAUAUGUUUAGGGUACAUGUUUUGUUACAUUCACUUGUUGUAUACAUGGUGGGAAAAUAAAAAUAAUAAUGUGUAAACACCUGUUCUGAAUGAAAUAAAUCUUCUUUUUGUUUGACAGCUCCCCGAUGUGUUAAAGUUUACUUUCGUAUGUUUUCGCCUUCAGUGGGUCAGUCCUGUUAAGCCUAGAGCAAAGAGUCUCCUGCUGGAGCCAAGGGGCUGGCUGGACAGAGUUGUCAUGUGUCUGCCUGUCUACACUUGCUGUGCAGAACAUCCUCUCACCUGUACAGCAGGCACAGACAGGCAGUCACAUGACAACCCAGCCUGAAAUACAGCCAGCCAAUGGGAGAACCACUCUGACUUGACCAUCUUCACCACAUCACUUCUGGAUCCCAGUAUGUUGGCUAAGAAUCAAAAGCAUGUAUAUACUAUAGUUGAUUGCCAGUUUGUACUGAAUUUUGAAGCAAGUCAGAGAUUUACAAUACCAACAAAACACAAUAAAACCUUCUGCUGUGAUUUUUUUUUACUGUGCUUUUUAUAGUCCUCUUUAUAGGUAAAGGUAAAGGUUUUCCCCUGACAUUAAGUCUAGUUCUGUCCAACUCUAGGGUGUGGUGCUCAUCUCCAUUUCUAAGCUGAAGAGCCAGUGUUGUCCGCAGACACCUCCAAGGUUAUGUGGCCGGCAUGACUGAAUGGAGUGCCGUUAACAUCCUGCCGGAGUGCGUUCUAGCCAAGGGAUGAUGCCUCAUACUUCCACUGGUGGAGCUGCUCCAAUAUGGCUCACAAAUGGGACAUUGAAGAAGGAGACAGAAGGCCUGAUCCUUGCAGCCCAGGAGCAAGCCAUCAGAACAAAUGCAAUUAAGGCCAAGAUCGAAAAAUCAGCUGAUGACCCAAAAUGCAGACUGUGCAAGGAAACCGACGAAACCAUUGAUCAUCUCCUCAGCUGCUGUAAGAAAAUCGCACAAACAGACUACAAACAGAGGCACAACUAUGUAGCCCAAAUGAUUAAUUGGAACUUAUGCCUCAAGUACCACCUGCCAGCAGCAAAGAACUGGUGGGAUCACAAACCUGCAAAGGUCGUGGAAAAUGAGCACGCAAAGAUACUGUGGGACUUCCGAAUCCAGACUGACAAAGUUCUGGAACACAACACACCAGACAUCACAGUUGUGGAAAACAAAAAGGUUUGGAUCAUUGAUGUCGCCAUCCCAGGUGACAGUUGCAUUGACGCAAAACAACAGGAAAAACUCAGCCGCUAUCAGGACCUCAAGAUUGAACUUCAAAGACUCUGGCAGAAACCAGUGCAGGUGGUCCCGGUGGUGGUGACUGGGUGCUGUGCCAAAAGAUCUCAGCCGGCAUUUGGAAACAACAGACAUUGACAAAAUUACAAUCUGCCAACUGCAAAAGGCCACCCUGCUGGGAUCUGCACGCAUCAUCCGAAAAUAGAUCACACAGUCCUAGACACUUGGGAAGUGUUCGACUUGUGAUCCAGCAUGUCUAUCUUGUUUGCUGUGUGAUAAUAAUAAUAAUAAUAAUAAUAAUAAUAAUAAUAAUAAUAAUAAUAAUAAUAAUAUAAUCAAGAUACUGUGGGACUUCCAAAUCCAGACUGACAAAGUUCUGGAGCACAACACACCAGACAUCACAGUUGUGGAAAAGAAAAAGGUCAUUGAUGUCGCCAUACCAGGACACAGUUGCAUUGACGAAAAACAACAGGAAAAACUCAGCCGCUAUCAGGGCCUCAAGAUUGAACUUCAAAGACUCUGGCAGAAACCAGUGCAGGUGGUCCCGGUGGUGAUGGGCACACUGGGUGCCAUGCCAAAAGAUCUCAGCCGGCAUUUGGAAACAAUAGACAUUGACAAAAUUACGAUCUGUCAACUGCAAAAGGCCACCCUACUGGGAUCUGCGCGCAUCAUCCGAAAAUACAUCACACAGUCCUAGACACUUGGGAAGUGUUCGACUUGUGAUUUUGUGAUAUGAAAUCCAGCAUGUCUAUCUUGUUUGCUGUGUCAUACAAUAAAAUAAUAAUCAUUUAUAACCCGGCUUCAUCUCCCCGAGGGGAGUCGGAGCGGUUCACAUGGGGACCGAGCCCAAGAAUCAAAAGAUAAAAACAGAACACAAGGAGGAUUCAUCAGCUCAGCAGUAUGUUCUCAAGUUGCUUCUGACACGAUAUAAAAAAGCUCAAUGACAUGUAAGUUUCUUGGCAAUGCCAACAUUGAGAAGGCCACAGGUUCCUCUUCACUUCUUUUUAAAAUUUCAACAGGCCUGUAUGAUCCUUUCUCUCCCACAAGUAUGUGCAAAUGGUUUUUCCUCACAAUCUAGCAGUCUCACGGCAGAAUUUUUUUUUGAAGUGCCAUUGUUGCAUUGAUCUUUUGCUAUAUCAUUUGCUCCACAAAAUUAUGAACUGCACUUCAUUUCAGCACCAUCUUGUGGCUCCCAAUAAUAUUUGAUCUAAUUCUUUAAAAACAAGGAUUCUGCUUGGAAGCACUCAUUGACAUACUGUAUUUCUUUGAUUCUAAGAUGCCAUUGAUUGUAAGAUGUGCACUAAUUUCAGUGCCACCAAUAGGAAAAAAGUUUUGUUUCUAAGGAAAAACAGCAUUUUCUUAUAUCUUUUAGAUAUCUUUUCAGAUGUCAUGUUUUAAUUAUCCUGCUUAUGCAAAUUUUCUUACAUCAUUGAACUUAGCUCUCUAUUUACAGUCUCUUUUGUUAUAUUUUAUAUAUCUGGGAUCAUGUUAGAUAACCAGCUCCUGUUACUUCUUGGCAUCCUUCUAUCUUGUUUAUUUUGCAUCAAAUGUUCUUUUUGGUAAUUAUUGUUAGUGUAAUGUUCAUUCGACCCUCUCUCCACAUUUCCAAACAUGGAAUGAAGAUACUGCAUUAAUUGAGUUGACAUAUGUAAAUAUGCUAAUUACUGCUGCAGCCUUAGCUAUUAAAUGUAGUUGGUGUUCCACUCAGUCAAAUCUCCACUUCUUAUCAUUGAUUGGCUGGAUUCUUGAUGUUUGUAAUUUUUUUCCUUUCUGCGGAGGCAAGUAAAAUUGGCGCUCUGUCCCCUUUCUCUUAUGAGUGCAGAAAAAUCAGGGAAAACCCAUUCUAAGAUGUGCCCCAUUUUGAGAUGUGUUUAUAUGGGUAAAAGAGUGCAUCUUAGAAUCAAAGAUAUACAAUUCUUUAAAUGUUAACAGAUUAAUUCAGAUAAAACAGAUAGAACAUCUGGUGGACAAAAAAGGCUGAAGAAAUCCAAAACCUGGUAGAUACCCAUGAUGCUCAGGGAUUUUUUAAAGCCACCAAGAUCAUCUACAGACCAAGAAAUCACGGCGUACACUCUCUACGCUCAUCAGAUGGAACCAAACUUCUGAAGGACAAAAAAUCAACAGCACUAUGUUGGAAAACGCACUACCACAACCUUCUGAAUCGCAGCUCUAACGUGGCCGAAGAGGUUCUCCCACAAAUCCUACAACAACAAAUCAGGGACGAGUUUGCAGCACCGCCUGGUCUGGAGAAAGUCAGCAAUGCCAUCAGUCAACAAAAAAAUAAUAAAGCCUACGGACGUGAUGGGAUCCCUGCCGAAGUCUUCAAAGUGGGUGGACCUGAGUUGACACAUUAACUCCACCAGAUCAUUGAAAAAGUGUGAAAUAAAUAGUACUCAUGUGAA